This is a transfer RNA of Ovis aries (sheep), 73 nucleotides long. It matches the Rfam family "tRNA". Rfam says of the family: Transfer RNA (tRNA) molecules are approximately 80 nucleotides in length. Their secondary structure includes four short double-helical elements and three loops (D, anti-codon, and T loops). Lineage: Eukaryota; Metazoa; Chordata; Mammalia; Artiodactyla; Bovidae. The record is from Rfam.
UCCCUAGUGGUCCAGUGGCUAAGACUCUGCACUCCUAAUGGAGGAGACCCAGGUUCAAUCCCUGGGCAGGGAA